GUACUCACUUUGGCAGCACAUAUUCUAAAAAAUAGAAUGAUACAGAGAAGACUAGCAUGGCCCCUGUGCAAGUAUGACAUGCAAAUUCUUGAAGCGUUCCAUAUUUAA
Mastomys coucha (southern multimammate mouse) is the source of this 108-nucleotide small nuclear RNA. Lineage: Eukaryota; Metazoa; Chordata; Mammalia; Rodentia; Muridae. The record is from RefSeq and is a predicted model, not a curated record.